RNAcentral lists this long non-coding RNA (456 nucleotides) under Marmota monax (woodchuck). The record is from RNAcentral. Lineage: Eukaryota; Metazoa; Chordata; Mammalia; Rodentia; Sciuridae.
UCAUCCUUUAAGGUGAUCACCUGAUCCAGACACUUUAAUUUUUCAUGCCUAUAAUUUGUGAAUAAGUGUUGAAUAAGAAAUUACCAGAUCUAUUAUCAGAUCUAUUAGAGUCAGAGACAUCAAUAUUAACUCAUGUAUAUAUUGUAUACACACAGAGAAAAGCAACUACAGGACAUAUGUCUAUAUAUGAGUUAGUACACACACUACCCGGCUCUGUUCUCCAAGGGGACCUAGAAGAAAUGAUACUCCAGUAACUGAGCCUACCCAGAUCUUGGUUUCUAAGUAUUAUUCUCCAGAAAAGGAAUCAGGGCUCCUUUGAGAAAUGGAUGAUUCUAGGGCUAGGACACAGAAAGUGUGAGAUGAACUUGAAUCAUCCUGUAGUACAGAAAAUAAACAAGAAAUCUAAUGACAAAAGGAUAAAGGCAUGUCAGAAGAGCACAAAGCCUUGGACUGGAG